Long non-coding RNA from Esox lucius (northern pike), 607 nucleotides. RefSeq lists it as uncharacterized. NCBI's taxonomy places the organism in Eukaryota, Metazoa, Chordata, Actinopteri, Esociformes, Esocidae. The record is from RefSeq and is a predicted model, not a curated record. The transcript is spliced from 4 exons.
AAACAUCAAGUCCUCUGCUGCAUGUGGUCCAGCUGAAUAUAUAAUAGGUGGUGAAUGUUGUCCUAUGUGUUCACCAGGAAACCAUGUAUACAGACAUUGUACAAACAAUCAAAGUACUUCCUGUGUUCCCUGUAUUGGCUCCACCUACCUUGAUAAACUCAAUGGUCUUACAGCAUGUACACCAUGUACACACUGUGACCCAGUCUUUGGUUUGAUGGUAAAACAUCCAUGUAGACCUUCAUCAGACACUGUCUGUGAGCCACUGGAGGGGUUCUACUGUAUAGACCCAACUAAGGAUGGUUGUAAAGCAGCCCAGAGACACAGCAGCUGUAAACCUGGUCAAUACAUCAGACAGAAAGGAACUCCAUCUACAGACACUGUGUGUGUUGACUGUACUGGUGACACCUAUUCAGAUGGAUCAUUUACAUCCUGUCAACCACACACACAAUGUGACACUUUGAAUCUUCAAGAAAUUAAACCUGGAACGUUUAGGUCUAACCCCGAAUGUGGACCAAAGACCUCAUAUCUUAUACCUGUAAUUGUAUCUACAGUUUUGGUGCUCGUUUUUUUAAUAACUGGAAUUAUCAUAUUCAUUUUAGUAAGGAAA